Small nucleolar RNA from Nannospalax galili (Upper Galilee mountains blind mole rat), 202 nucleotides. Its record names the gene SNORA73. It matches the Rfam family "Small nucleolar RNA SNORA73 family". Rfam says of the family: U17 (SNORA73A and SNORA73B) also known as E1 belongs to the H/ACA class of small nucleolar RNAs (snoRNAs). Vertebrate U17 is intron-encoded and ranges in length from 200-230 nucleotides, longer than most snoRNAs. NCBI's taxonomy places the organism in Eukaryota, Metazoa, Chordata, Mammalia, Rodentia, Spalacidae. The record is from Ensembl.
CCAACAUGGAUACCCUGGGAGGUCACUCUCCACAGGCUCUGUCCUAGUGGUGUAGGGGACCAUCACAUUCUGCCCCAUGAUGUACAGUCCCUUUCCACAAUGUUGGAGAUGAAGCUGGGCUUCAAGGCUGCACCUGCCUAUCCCUACAAUGUCCCAGAGUCCCAGACAAGGAAUGGGGAGGCAAACCAUGUAAGAAACAAGU